This 1458-nucleotide long non-coding RNA is filed under the name Cricetulus griseus (Chinese hamster). RNAcentral's name for it is "lncRNA (ENSCGRG00000024776.1)". Lineage: Eukaryota; Metazoa; Chordata; Mammalia; Rodentia; Cricetidae. The record is from RNAcentral.
GCAGGCCUGAGUUCUAUAUUGCCAUGUGUGUCAAUGUAGAAUAAGGGUUAAGAUGAAAUGAGAAAGUAAUAGGAGAUGACGACUAGGGAGAUGGUCCCGUGCUCUGGCAAACAUGUUUGAGAUUCUUUGUCCCUCUGACACAGCUCAGCAGGGUGACUGUACAGGAUGAAGUGAAAGUCGUAUUCAGAGAGGGUGGGUUUCCUGUGGGUGUCCACAAACCAUGACGUGAAGACUGUGGGAGUAAAGGGAAAUGAUAAGUGGUUUGAAAGUCCUAAAGGGCAAGAGGUGAUGUGUGCGUUUCCAAGGGCAGAGAAAUGGCUGGUUACACAAGCUUCUGAUAAGAAAGUUCACAAGAACACGUCUAUCCUGUUCCUGCACAGGGGCAGCUCAGGAAUGUCAGAAGAGCCAUUCUUGGAAUGGCAAAGGGCACUUCCUUCAAAUUCUACAGAUGAGAAGGUCCCUGUACAGCCACUGGCAUGGCUUUGGCUGGUUUCAUAUCAGGAGUCACUUUUUUAACACAGCAUGGAAUAGCCACUGGCCCUCACUAAUGGCCUUGUGAUCUCCCUGGGGGUUUUGCACCUUCAUCUGCCACAUGGAUGCCAUGAGCCUAUGACAGAUGGAUGCAGACUUGACACUCUACCCCACCGGUUUUAAAAUUCCAAAAUCCGAUCCCAACUCUGUCUUGGAAAUAGACAGGAAGUUGGUUCAUGCCUGGCUAUGUUUACUUGCAAGCCUUUGGGUUAGCCAUACCGUCUGGCUUCAAAUUGGACAGCUGUACACUUUUCCAGGAUUCAAGCCAAAAUUUUUUUUUAAUGCUGAUUUGCUAAUUGGAUGCCAGGAACUGAGGAUCCAACUGAAUCUUAGGAACAUGGAUAGUCUUACUGUGUUGUGUGAGCACACUGUGAGCCUCCAGCCUUGGGACUGCUAUGGUUUGUGAGCACAAUGUGAUCCUCUAACCUUGAGACAGGAGAUCAAAGGCAGAAGGCUGAAGUUCUGCAGAGCCUUCUCCCACCCUUCUCUCCUUUGGGUCCUGUGAAGAGGAACUGUCUAUUUAAUUACAACAUGCAUAAUAGAUGGACCUUGACAGUUACAGAGGUGAGUCUGGAAUGGGUAAAGCCCUCAAAUAUAUGAAGCUUUCGAUUGUGGAUUAUAGGGAAAUUCCCCAUAUUUGGGAAGAUGUGGAGGACUGGAACCAUUUCUGUAGGGAUCUUGCAGCUAUAACCAGGAUCCUGGAUGUUCCCUGAAUGCAUACAUGUUAGAGGCUUGUCCCUCAGAGUGGAGGGGUUUGGAAGUAUUAGAACCUUUGGGAGGUGGAGCCUAGGUGAAUGAAGGGCAUCAGGUCACUGGGGGCUUGCUUCUGAAGGAGAUCAUGGGACAUGCCCAUUCCUUAUUCUCUCUACUCUGUUUUUAUUUGGCCCAUGGACACUGAAUGAGGUACCUGAACCUUCAGACACUGAG